GGGUAGAUGUCCGAGCGGUCGAAGGAGCGCGCCUCGAAAGCGCGUAAGGCGUCAGCCUUCUAGGGUUCGAAUCCCUAUCUACCCGCCA
RNAcentral lists this transfer RNA (88 nucleotides) under Campylobacter sp. RNAcentral's name for it is "tRNA-Ser(cga)". It matches the Rfam family "tRNA". From Rfam's summary of the family: Transfer RNA (tRNA) molecules are approximately 80 nucleotides in length. Their secondary structure includes four short double-helical elements and three loops (D, anti-codon, and T loops). Lineage: Bacteria; Pseudomonadati; Campylobacterota; Epsilonproteobacteria; Campylobacterales; Campylobacteraceae. The record is from RNAcentral. RNAcentral also lists the same sequence under 1 other name.